RNAcentral lists this long non-coding RNA (337 nucleotides) under Calidris pugnax (ruff). Its description in RNAcentral is "lncRNA (ENSCPUG00000018367.1)". The record is from RNAcentral. Lineage: Eukaryota; Metazoa; Chordata; Aves; Charadriiformes; Scolopacidae.
AUCUGGAUGAGGUGGGAGGAAGCUGACUAUCUCUAACCCGUGGACAUUUGAAAGGUUUUCAGUGGAUUCUCUGUUUGCUCACAAAGUCAAGAGAGGAAAGAAGAAAACCUUCCUGUUCCACACACACGCUGAUGACUGGCAGAUGGAAAACCUAUUUUCAAGUGAACUUGGAGCAUGGGCACUCUCUUGGAGAGAAGGAAUAAAAAGAGAGAACUGCAAAAAAAGUUUGAAGAGCCCUGUGCUCCUGAAGGGCUGCCUGCCCUUCAUUUUAGCAGCACACGAGAACCGUGAGAGGAAGACAGUUCCAGGCUUUGGACCAAAUAAAGACAUUUGCUGA